GAUGAAGAACGUAGUGAAAUGCGAUAAGUAGUGUGAAUUGCAGAAUUCAGUGAAUCAUCGAAUCUUUGAACGCACAUUGCGCCCUUUGGUAUUCCAAAGGGCAUGCCUGUUCGAGCGUCAUUUGUACCCUCAAGCUUUGCUUGGUGUUUGGCGUCUUGUCUCUAGCUUUGCUGGAGACUCGCCUUAAAGUAAUUGGCAGCCGGCCUACUGGUUUCGGAGCGCAGCACAAGUCGCACUCUCUAUCAGCAAAGGUCUAGCAUCCAUUAAGCCUUUUUUUCAACUUUUGACCUCGGAUCAGGUAGGGAUACCCGCUGAACUUAAGCAUAUCAAUAAGCGGAGGA
This 341-nucleotide unclassified non-coding RNA is filed under the name soil metagenome. RNAcentral's name for it is "partial contains 5.8S ribosomal RNA, internal transcribed spacer 2, and large subunit ribosomal RNA". The stretch from base 1 to 120 matches the Rfam family "5.8S ribosomal RNA", at positions 35 to 154 of the family's 154-position model. The record is from RNAcentral.